RNAcentral lists this ribosomal RNA (253 nucleotides) under uncultured bacterium. RNAcentral's name for it is "partial 16S ribosomal RNA". It matches the Rfam family "Bacterial small subunit ribosomal RNA", at positions 524 to 776 of the family's 1533-position model. The record is from RNAcentral.
UACGGAGGGGGCAAGCGUUGUUCGGAAUUACUGGGCGUAAAGGGCUCGUAGGCGGCCCUCUCAGUCGGAUGUGAAAUCCCCAGGCUUAACCUGGGAACGGCAUCCGAGACUGGAGGGCUUGAGUUCGGGAGAGGGAUGCAGAAUUCCAGGUGUAGCGGUGAAAUGCGCAGAUAUCAGGAGGAACACCGGUGGCGAAGGCGGCCCCCUGGCUCGAUACUGACGCUGAGGUGCGAAAGCGUGGGGAGCGAACAGG